GAACGCUAGCUACAGGCUUAACACAUGCAAGUCGAGGGGCAGCAUGGUCUUAGCUUGCUAAGGCCGAUGGCGACCGGCGCACGGGUGAGUAACGCGUAUCCAACCUGCCUUACACUCUUGGACAGCCUUCUGAAAGGGAGAUUAAUACAAGAUGUUAUCAUGAGUAAGCAUUUUCGCAUGAUUAAAGGUUUACCGGUGUAAGAUGGGGAUGCGUUCCAUUAGAUAGUAGGCGGGGUAACGGCCCACCUAGUCUUCGAUGGAUAGGGGUUCUGAGAGGAAGGUCCCCCACAUUGGAACUGAGACACGGUCCAAACUCCUACGGGAGGCAGCAGUGAGGAAUAUUGGUCAAUGGACGAGAGUCUGAACCAGCCAAGUAGCGUGAAGGAUGAAGGUUCUAUGGAUUGUAAACUUCUUUUAUACGGGAAUAAACGGAUCCACGUGUGGAUUUUUGCAUGUACCGUAUGAAUAAGGAUCGGCUAACUCCGUGCCAGCAGCCGCGGUAAUACGGAGGAUCCGAGCGUUAUCCGGAUUUAUUGGGUUUAAAGGGAGCGUAGAUGGGUUGUUAAGUCAGUUGUGAAAGUUUGCGGCUCAACCGUAAAAUUGCAAUUGAUACUGGCAGUCUUGAGUACAGUUGAGGUAGGCGGAAUUCGUGGUGUAGCGGUGAAAUGCUUAGAUAUCACGAAGAACUCCGAUUGCGAAGGCAGCUUACUAACCUGUAACUGACAUUGAUGCUCGAAAGUGUGGGUAUCAAACAGGAUUAGAUACCCUGGUAGUCCACACGGUAAACGAUGAAUACUCGCUGUAGGCGAUAUACAGUCUGCGGCCAAGCGAAAGCAUUAAGUAUUCCACCUGGGGAGUACGCCGGCAACGGUGAAACUCAAAGGAAUUGACGGGGGCCCGCACAAGCGGAGGAACAUGUGGUUUAAUUCGAUGAUACGCGAGGAACCUUACCCGGGCUUAAAUUGCAACCGAAUAUGGCGGAAACGCUAUAGCUAGCAAUAGCGGUUGUGAAGGUGCUGCAUGGUUGUCGUCAGCUCGUGCCGUGAGGUGUCGGCUUAAGUGCCAUAACGAGCGCAACCCUUGCCGAUAGUUACUAACAGGUCAUGCUGAGGACUCUGUCGGGACUGCCAUCGUAAGAUGUGAGGAAGGUGGGGAUGACGUCAAAUCAGCACGGCCCUUACGUCCGGGGCUACACACGUGUUACAAUGGGGGGUACAGAGGGCUGCUACCACGCAAGUGGAUGCCAAUCCCAAAAACCUCUCUCAGUUCGGAUUGAAGUCUGCAACCCGACUUCAUGAAGCUGGAUUCGCUAGUAAUCGCGCAUCAGCCACGGCGCGGUGAAUACGUUCCCGGGCCUUGUACACACCGCCCGUCAAGCCAUGGGAGCCGGGGGUACCUGAAGUGCGUAACCGCAAGGAGCGCCCUAGGGUAAAACUGG
RNAcentral lists this ribosomal RNA (1438 nucleotides) under uncultured organism. RNAcentral describes it as "16S ribosomal RNA". It matches the Rfam family "Bacterial small subunit ribosomal RNA". The record is from RNAcentral.